Molecule: small nucleolar RNA, 134 nt
Organism: Cavia porcellus (domestic guinea pig)
Lineage: Eukaryota; Metazoa; Chordata; Mammalia; Rodentia; Caviidae
Source: Ensembl
UUGGCCCUGAAUCAAGGCUGGCAGUUUCCUGAAGCUGUUGGUUUCAAACGGGAACCUAAAGUGGUAUCUUUCUAUGAUUUGUUGGCCAUUUCAGAACUUAAAUAUAAUGGUCAAUUCAUUAGAAAGAGACAACU